GCCAGACUCCUACGGGAGGCAGCAGUGAGGAAUAUUGGUCAAUGGGCGGGAGCCUGAACCAGCCAAGCCGCGUGAGGGAAGAAGGUACAGCGUAUCGUAAACCUCUUUUGUCAGGGAACAAAGGCGGGGACUAGUCCCCGGAUGAGGGUACCUGAAGAAAAAGCAUCGGCUAACUCCGUGCCAGCAGCCGCGGUAAUACGGAGGAUGCGAGCGUUAUCCGGAUUUAUUGGGUUUAAAGGGUGCGUAGGCGGAAUGCCAAGUCAGCGGUAAAAUCGCGGGGCUCAACCUCGUCGAGCCGUUGAAACUGGGUGCCUUGAGUGGGCGAGAAGUACGCGGAAUGCGUGGUGUAGCGGUGAAAUGCAUAGAUAUCACGCAGAACUCCGAUUGCGAAGGCAGUAUACCGGCGCCCAACUGACGCUGAAGCACGAAAGCGUGGGUAUCGAACAGGAUUAGAUACCCCGGUAC
Molecule: ribosomal RNA, 465 nt
Filed under: uncultured bacterium
Lineage: Bacteria
Description: bacterial SSU rRNA
Rfam family: Bacterial small subunit ribosomal RNA
Source: RNAcentral